GGGCCGUUAGCUCAGUUGGCUAGAGCGCGUGCUCGACACGCACGAGGUCAGUGGUUCAAGUCCACUACGGCCCA
RNAcentral lists this transfer RNA (74 nucleotides) under Planctomycetales bacterium 4484_123. RNAcentral's name for it is "tRNA-Val". It matches the Rfam family "tRNA". From Rfam's summary of the family: Transfer RNA (tRNA) molecules are approximately 80 nucleotides in length. Their secondary structure includes four short double-helical elements and three loops (D, anti-codon, and T loops). Further hydrogen bonds mediate the characteristic L-shaped molecular structure. tRNAs have two regions of fundamental functional importance: the anti-codon, which is responsible for specific mRNA codon recognition, and the 3' end, to which the tRNAs corresponding amino acid is attached (by aminoacyl-tRNA synthetases). tRNAs cope with the degeneracy of the genetic code in two manners: having more than one tRNA (with a specific anti-codon) for a particular amino acid; and 'wobble' base-pairing, i.e. permitting non-standard base-pairing at the 3rd anti-codon position. Lineage: Bacteria; Pseudomonadati; Planctomycetota; Planctomycetia; Planctomycetales. RNAcentral also lists the same sequence under 1 other name. The record is from RNAcentral.